CGAACCUACCGUAUCGAGGAGGGGAAUAACCCGGCGAAAGUCGGACUAAUACCGCAGUAAAACAGGGGCACGCAUGGUGAUAUUUGUUAAAGAAAUUCGCUGAUAGAUGGGCAUGCGUUCCAUUUAGGUAGUUGGUGAGGUAACGGCUCACCAAGCCGACGAUGGAUAGGGGAACUGAGAGGUUGGUCCCCCACACUGGUACUGAGACACGGACCAGACUCCUACGGGAGGCAGCAGUGAGGAAUAUUGGUCAAUGGGGCGGGAGCCUGAACCAGCCAAGUCGCGUGAAAAGGAAGAAGGAUCUAUGGUUCGUAAACUUCUUUUGCAGGGGAGUAAAGUGCAGGACGUGUCCUGUUUUGUAUGUACCCUGAGAAUAAGGAUCGGCCUAACUCCGUGCCAGCAGCGGC
This 407-nucleotide ribosomal RNA is filed under the name uncultured bacterium. RNAcentral's name for it is "bacterial SSU rRNA". It matches the Rfam family "Bacterial small subunit ribosomal RNA", at positions 120 to 518 of the family's 1533-position model. The record is from RNAcentral.